GACGAACGCUGGCGGCGUGCUUAACACAUGCAAGUCGAACGGAAAGGCCCUGCUUGCUGGGUACUCGAGUGGCGAACGGGUGAGUAACACGUGGGUGCUCUGCCCUCCACUUCGGGAUAAGCCUGGGAAACUGGGUCUAAUACCUGAUAGGAGCCAUUUUUAGUGUGAUGGUUGGAAAGUUUUUUUCGGUGUAGGAUGAGCUCGCGGCCUAUCAGCUUGUUGGUGGGGUAAUGGCCUACCAAGGCGGCGACGGGUAGCCGGACUGAGAGGGUGGACGGCCACAUUGGGACUGAGAGACGGCACAGACGCCGACGGGAGGCAGAAGGGGGGAAGACUGCACAAGGGGCGCAAGCCGGAUGCAGAGACGCCGCGGGUGGGAUGACGGCCUUCGGGUUGUAAAAACCUUUCGCUAGGGACGAAGCUUUUUGUGACGGUACCUAGAGAAGAAGCACCGGCUAACUACGUG
This 466-nucleotide ribosomal RNA is filed under the name uncultured bacterium. Its description in RNAcentral is "partial 16S ribosomal RNA". It matches the Rfam family "Bacterial small subunit ribosomal RNA", at positions 28 to 507 of the family's 1533-position model. The record is from RNAcentral.